RNAcentral lists this ribosomal RNA (923 nucleotides) under uncultured bacterium. Its description in RNAcentral is "bacterial SSU rRNA". It matches the Rfam family "Bacterial small subunit ribosomal RNA", at positions 8 to 916 of the family's 1533-position model. The record is from RNAcentral.
AGAGUUUGAUCCUGGCUCAGGACGAACGCUGGGCGGCGCGCUUACCACAUGCAAGUCGAGCGAGAACCUGGGCUUCGGCCCAGGGGACAGCGGCGAACGGGUGAGUAACACGUGGAUAACCUGCCCUCGGCGCCGGGAUAGCCCGGGGAAACCCGGAUUAAUACCGGAUGGCCCUUCCGGCUUUCGAGCCGGUCGGAAAAGGUAGCUUCGGCCUCCGGCCGAGGACGGGUCCGCGGCGGAUUAGCUAGUUGGCGGGGUAACGGCCCACCAAGGCGACGAUCCGUAGCUGGUCUGAGAGGACGAUCAGCCACACUGGGACUGAGACACGGCCCAGACUCCUACGGGAGGCAGCAGUGGGGAAUCUUGCGCAAUGGGCGAAAGCCUGACGCAGCGACGCCGCGUGAGGGAGGAAGGCCUUCGGGUUGUAAACCUCUUUCAGGAGGGACGAAGCUACUCGGGUUAAUAGCCCAGAGGGUGACGGUACCUCCAGAAGAAGCCCCGGCUAACUACGUGCCAGCAGCCGCGGUAAUACGUAGGGGGCAAGCGUUGUCCGGAUUUACUGGGCGUAAAGCGCGUGUAGGCGGCCACGCAGGUCUGUUGUGAAAACUGGAGGCUCAACCUCCAGACGUCGACAGAAACCGUGUGGCUAGAGUCCGGAAGAGGAGAGUGGAAUUCCUGGUGUAGCGGUGAAAUGCGCAGAUAUCAGGAAGAACACCAAUGGCGAAGGCAGCUCUCUGGGACGGUACUGACGCUGAGACGCGAAAGCGUGGGGAGCGAACAGGAUUAGAUACCCUGGUAGUCCACGCCGUAAACGAUGGGUGCUAGGUGUGGGAGGUGUCGACUCCUUCCGUGCCGUAGCUAACGCAUUAAGCACCCCGCCUGGGGAGUACGGCCGCAAGGCUAAAACUCAAAGGAAUUGACGG